AACGCACAUUGCGCCCUCUGGUAUUCCAGAGGGCAUGCCUGUUCGAGCGUCAUUUCAACCCUCAAGCCCAGCUUGGUGUUGGGGCAUUACCUUCCCUCGCGGGGGGUAAGCCCUGAAAUUUAGUGGCGAGCUCGCCAGGACUCCGAGCGCAGUAGUUAAACCCUCGCUCUGGACUGUACUGGCGCGGCCCUGCCGUAAAACCCCCAACUUCUGAAAAUUUGACCUCGGAUCAGGUAGGAGUACCCGCUGAACUUAA
Molecule: unclassified non-coding RNA, 256 nt
Filed under: Aspergillus sp.
Lineage: Eukaryota; Fungi; Ascomycota; Eurotiomycetes; Eurotiales; Aspergillaceae
Description: partial contains 5.8S ribosomal RNA, internal transcribed spacer 2, and large subunit ribosomal RNA
Rfam family: 5.8S ribosomal RNA (bases 1-52)
Source: RNAcentral